Priapulus caudatus is the source of this 293-nucleotide long non-coding RNA. RefSeq lists it as uncharacterized. The record is from RefSeq and is a predicted model, not a curated record. The transcript is spliced from 3 exons. NCBI's taxonomy places the organism in Eukaryota, Metazoa, Priapulida, Priapulimorpha, Priapulimorphida, Priapulidae.
ACAAUGUAAAACGGCUCGCCGAGGUGCGUUUCUGGCGCGCCCAUAAAUUUCCAAAGAAAGCCUACUUGUUUGGCGAAUUCCAGUUGUACUUCUACAGACUGACUGGCUGGUUGCUGGAGGUGCGUGCGGACACAGCGAACUCGUACUUCUUCCCCUGUACAUGGGGGCAUGCUGCAGCCUUGUUUUCUCACGUGAGAUCGGCACCACCACAGUUUGAAAGUCGACGAAAUUCGAGGUUUUAGCCGGCCGGUCUCUGAAUAACAGCGGACGCAGUGACACGAAUUCAUCUAUAU